GCGGCAAACGGGUGAGUAAUAUCUGGGAAUCUACCCAAAAGAGGGGGAUAACUACUAGAAAUGGUAGCUAAUACCGCAUAAAGUUGAAAAACCAAAGUGGGGGACCUUAAAAGGCCUCAUGCUUUUGGAUGAGCCCAGAAGAGAUUAGCUUGUUGGUAAGGUAAAAGCUUACCAAGGCCACGAUCUCUAGCUGGUCUGAGAGGAUAACCAGCCACACUGGAACUGAGACACGGUCCAGACUCCUACGGGAGGCAGCAGUGGGGAAUAUUGCACAAUGGGCGAAAGCCUGAUGCAGCUAUGCCGCGUGUAUGAAGAAGGCCUUAGGGUUGUAAAGUACUU
This 339-nucleotide ribosomal RNA is filed under the name Aphis sedi. Its description in RNAcentral is "bacterial SSU rRNA". It matches the Rfam family "Bacterial small subunit ribosomal RNA", at positions 95 to 435 of the family's 1533-position model. Lineage: Eukaryota; Metazoa; Arthropoda; Insecta; Hemiptera; Aphididae. The record is from RNAcentral.